GGACUACACGGGUAUCUAAUCCUGUUUGCUCCCCACGCUUUCGCGCCUCAGCGUCAGUUACGAGCCAGAAAGCCGCCUUCGCCACUGGUGUUCUUCCUAAUAUCUACGAAUUUCACCUCUACACUAGGAAUUCCACUUUCCUCUCUCGUACUCAAGUCUUCCAGUCUGAAACGCACCUCCUGGGUUAAGCCCAGGGCUUUCACGCCUCACUUAAAAAACCGCCUACGCGCCCUUUACGCCCAGUCAUUCCGAACAACGCUAGCCCCCUCCGUCUUACCGCGGCUGCUGGCAC
Molecule: ribosomal RNA, 292 nt
Filed under: uncultured bacterium
Lineage: Bacteria
Description: partial 16S ribosomal RNA
Source: RNAcentral